GUCUAUAUGGUAUAGUGGUUAGCAUGUCUGCUUGGCAAAGUCAUAUGAUAUUGAUAGCAAUCUUUUUAAGAUCUUGGAUUCAAUUCCCAGGUUAGCCA
Molecule: non-coding RNA, 98 nt
Organism: Armillaria borealis
Lineage: Eukaryota; Fungi; Basidiomycota; Agaricomycetes; Agaricales; Physalacriaceae
Source: the annotation of a GenBank genome assembly